AGAAGCGGGGCAAGCCACUGAUAUUUCAAAGGAGGUGGGAGGCAGAGGGCUGAUGGAUCAGUGAAUUUGCAGCUGACGCUAGGCCUUGAGACCUAUGGGAUCAUUGUGUGCUGCAGCGAGGCCCUGCCGGCCUCUCCAGAUGUGGUGAGCCCAUCCUAUCUCAGUGGGAGGGGGCCAGAAUCGGAUCUCAACGGGAGUCCGGAGAACACAGCAGGCGUCCUGAAGCUCCCCCUCCCUCGGUGGAAGUCGGCUCAAGCAGAUCCUGAGGACAGGACCCCUGGGGGUUUGGGCCUGGGACAGGACGAGACACCCGCGGCCCCCUCUCCCACGCCGCCCCAAACAGGACCCAGGAUCCAGCCGCCGCCGCGGCGGCAGCGAUAUUUAAAGGGGACGCAGCCUAUCUGUCAGGAGCGGAGCGCGAGUCGGCUCAGCCAAUGCGCAUGCGCGAGGCGCGAGCGGUUUCUCCCGUCACAGUGGUUCCCACGGUUGUCUUAGAAACCAGACCCCGAGGCUUGGCAGAGCAGGAGCCCUCGGUGGCAGUGCUUGGGUGUCGAGGCUCUGAGGCUCCGGCCUCACCUCUCCACGGGGUCGAAGGGAACGUCUCCGGAUGCCAGGAGUCGCAAAGGGCCGACCAUGAUGAUGAAACCCCAGGCAGAGACGGGGGAAGCAGCACGGGAUCCCAGCCUCAGGCCUGCACGGACGGUGUUGGUUGGGAGACGAGGUCUCACUAUAUUGACCAGGCUGGUCUUGAACUCCUGGCCUUAAGCGAUCCUCCUGCCUUGGCCUCCCAAAGUGCUGGAGUUACAGAUGUGAGCCUCUGUGCUCAGUCCAUCCUUGGCUGUUCAAGUGUAGAGGUAAGUAGUAGAUGCCAAGUUUACCUCCAGGUAAGAAGGGGCAGAUGCCCCAGGGCAGAAUCAUAACCAUAAUCAGGCCUCCCACUGCAUGAGACAUUAUGUUCUGAAGCUUAAACCUGGACAAAGGUCUGACCAGUAGCACUGUGUUCAUGAAUGUCAGGUCAAAAAUUUAAAACUGGGACUAUCCAGAAGAACCUGGUAGAUGCAGGUGCAGUCCACAGUCCAAUGGUCAGCCUUGAUAACAGGCCACCUGUACUUUCUCUUUAUCAUGGAGUCCUUGAUGUAAAAAUUGAUGACACUUUCUUGCUUCUGGUGUGCUUCCCUUUCUUCUUCAUUUUCCAUAAGUAGUUUCCUCCAUCCCGCCUCCCAACAGGCCACAGUCAAUUCAGGACAUUUUAACCAUGAAAAUGAGUCUCCAUAACACGAAUUUAGAGGCCAGACAGGGUGGAUCACGCCUGUAAUCCCAGCAC
RNAcentral lists this long non-coding RNA (1324 nucleotides) under Homo sapiens (human). RNAcentral's name for it is "HSALNT0352235". Lineage: Eukaryota; Metazoa; Chordata; Mammalia; Primates; Hominidae. The record is from RNAcentral.